This 253-nucleotide ribosomal RNA is filed under the name uncultured bacterium. RNAcentral's name for it is "partial 16S ribosomal RNA". It matches the Rfam family "Bacterial small subunit ribosomal RNA", at positions 524 to 776 of the family's 1533-position model. The record is from RNAcentral.
UACAGAGGGUGCAAGCGUUAAUCGGAAUUACUGGGCGUAAAGAGCACGUAGGUGGUGGUUCAAGUUGGAUGUGAAAGCCCCGGGCUUAACCUGGGAAGGUCAUCCAAGACUGAGCGGCUAGAGUAUAGUAGAGGGAAGUGGAAUUUCCGGUGUAGCGGUGAAAUGCGUAGAUAUCGGAAGGAACACCAGUGGCGAAGGCGACUUCCUGGACUAAUACUGACACUGAGGUGCGAAAGCGUGGGGAGCAAACAGG